RNAcentral lists this long non-coding RNA (9249 nucleotides) under Hordeum vulgare. RNAcentral's name for it is "long non-coding RNA (HVUL_LNC021034)". Lineage: Eukaryota; Viridiplantae; Streptophyta; Magnoliopsida; Poales; Poaceae. The record is from RNAcentral.
UCUUAUGCAACGUCCAGGUCGGGAUAUAUCAUCUUGGAGUCAUGAUAUGUGCGGUUGUUUUUCAGGCUCAUUGUAGGAUGACCACUGGAAAUGGGCUUCACAAGUGUAGAGGUUAAAAUUAUAAGUUUCAAUUGCUAAAAAAAGCCUGCCCAGCACUAGAUAUGUACCUCCUGGAGAAAGGGGGCCGAUUCCUUCAGUGGAUUUUCCUAGUGAAUCAGUAACUUUUAAUUAGAGGCNNNNNNNNNNNNNNNNNNNNNNNNNNNNNNNNNNNNNNNNNNNNNNNNNNNNNNNNNNNNNNNNNNNNNNNNNNNNNNNNNNNNNNNNNNNNNNNNNNNNCAUAUCAGGUUAACCGACUGGAUACCACUCGGUACAUCGUAACCCCCCUGGAGGGAAACGGUCGUGCGUUUCCACGUGCAUUUAUUAGCAUUUAGGGCGUACGUUACCUGUAACGUACACAUUCAAUCGCCACUACUCCACCCCUGUACCAGAACCGUUGUGGAGGGCCGCGCACUCUAUAUAAGCCACCCUUCCCCACUGGUAAAGUGGUUAGCAACUCAUUGUAUUCCCUAUUCCACUCGACAACAAAGCUCCCUAAGCACUGAGACGUAGGGCUAUUACCUCCACCGCAGAGGGGCCUGAACUCAUACAUCCUCGCCGUAGCUAGGACUCUGCCCAUCCUUUUCGUACCCUACACAUCUAUUGUCAGGCUUAUACCCAUGACAGUUGGCACCCACCAUGGGGCAGGCGUCUAACCGACUUCCGGCAAGUUUGCGACUACUUCCUUUCGUCAUGUCGUCCGGUGGAGGUUCGAGUAUGGGUCACCAGAUCUUCUUCGACGCUCUCUCCUUCAUCAUCGACGAUUCGGCGUGGCUUCGGGAUGCUCCUCUCGACGUGGAGGCACUUCCCCGUCGUGGGGCUACGCACUUCCGUGCCGGCGCCCGCGACAUUCUUCUUCUCCAACAGUCGGCUCCGGUGUCGACCUGCACCGCCGUCGCGCGCCGCAGCAAGCGGUCUCGCCGUCCGCGGCUCCAGCGUUUGGUGCAACACGCCCAGGCGUGCCAGAGCGCAUCUUCACAAGUGGCGGUUCUAGAGUCCGUUGUGGUUGCCCCGCCGUCCCAGCACUCGAACUCGGUUCCGACUGAGUUUCCUUCCGAGUAUGCGAGUCGCGGGCCCGCAGCAGAAGUACACAUGGCCAACUCCCAUGAAGAUCCCCGUCAUGCUGGACGGAGCGAGCGCGAGGUCGACGAAGCAUCCGGUGCGCGCCGUCCACCUCGCCGUUCUGCCAGUCGGCACACUCAACGGAGCAACGUGGAGUUGUUUCGCACGCCCCUCCUCAACUUGGCUGCGGCUGCCAAGAUAGCCGAUUCCCUCCAGCGGACUGAUUCAGAGGCAGGAAGGGGGAUCGAGCAGAUCCGAGCCGUGUUGCACACGGCGCAGCAGCAGAAUUCAGCGGUCUCCCAGUCACACAACCAGAUCUAUAAUAGUCCCGUUCAUGCGAAUACGCAUCGGUCGGUUCACAGCCCUGGUUCCCAUCAACGCCACAGGGGAGGCAGCCGUUCCAUGAUUCACGAAGAUCGCCGCCGCUCACGCACCCCUCCGCGGGGUGGGACCUAUGGGUCCCGACAUCAUGAUGAUCGGCGUUCAGUCGGCGACACUUACGACCCAAGACCCGACGCAAGAGGGCGUAUCACCCAGCGAAGGGUCGACAGGGGCCGAGCCCACCGCGAUGGUCGCGAUAUGGACCGUCUAAGUGGAAGCAGGACCAUCGUGUCUGGCCCCGAGUGUUUUAGUCGAGCCAUCCGCUCGGCUGACAUCCCGCCCAACUUCCGAUUGGCGGCGGGGAAUCAGUAAGUUUACACGAGAGUCCAAGCCAGAAACUGUUGGAAAUAUGCCCUAGAGGCAAUAAUAAAUUAGUUAUUAUUAUAUUUCUUAGUUCAUGAUAAUCGUUUAUUAUCCAUGCUAUAAUUGUAUUGACAGGAAACACAAUACUUGUGUGGAUACAUAGACAAAACACUGUCCCUAGUAAGCCUCCAGUUGACUAGCUCGUUGAUCAAAGAUGGUCAAGGUUUCCUGGCCAUAGGCAGGUGUUGUCACUUGAUAACGGGAUCACAUCAUUAGGAGAAUCAUGUGAUGGACUAGACCCAAACCAAUAGACGUAGCAUGUUGAUCGUGUCAUUUUGUUGCUACUGUUUUCUNNNNNNNNNNNNNNNNNNNNNNNNNNNNNNNNNNNNNNNNNNNNNNNNNNNNNNNNNNNNNNNNNNNNNNNNNNNNNNNNNNNNNNNNNNNNNNNNNNNNUUUCUUCUUCUUCUCCUCUUCCUUCUCCUUCUCCUCCUCCUCCUCCUUAUUUUACUUCUUCUUCUCUUUCUCUUCUUCUACGUAGCUUAGACUCAUCCAGCAAAGCCUAAAUUGGCGAAUUAUCCAUCUAAAUGACAUAAUUAGCUUAGUUAGCUCCUAAAUGACCUAUUUAAUAAAAAAUGACCUAUACUUAGCUAAUUAUCCUCAAAAUGACAUAAUUAACUCCAAAAAGGCAUUCUUAGCCAAUUUAGCCCGAAGAAGGGGACGAGAGGAGAAGAAAGAGGAAAAAUGAAAGGAAGGAAGAAGAAGAAGAGGAGAAGAAGAAGAAGGAGAGGGAGGAGGAUAAGAAGAAGGAGAAGAAGGAGGAGAAGAAGGAGGAGAAGAAGGAGAAGGAGCUCCUCCUUCUCCUUCUUCUUCCUCCUUUUUCCUCCUUCUCCUUCUCCUUCUUGUUUUCUUAUCCUCCUCCUCCUCCUCCUCCUCCUCCUUCUUUUACUUCUUCUUCUCUUUCUCUUCUUCUACGUAGCUUAGACUCAUCCAGCAAAGCCUAAAUUGGCUAAUUAUCCAUCUAAAUGACAUAAUUAGCUUAGUUAGCUCCUAAAUGGUCCAUUUAAUAAAAAAUGACCUAUACUUAGCUAAUUAUCCUCGAAAUGACAUAAUUAGCUCCAAAAAGGCAUUCUUAGCCAAUUUAGCCCGAAGAAGGGGACGAGAGGAGAAGAAAGAGGAAAAAUGAAAGGAAGGAAGAAGAAGAAGAGGAGAAGAAGAAGAAGGAGAGGGAGGAGGAUAAGAAGAAGGAGAAGAAGGAGGAGAAGAAGGAGAAGGAGCUCCUCCUUCUCCUCCUUCUUCCUCCUUCACCUUCUCCUUCUUCUUUUCUUCUUCUUCUCCUCUUCCUUCUCCUUCUCCUCCUCCUCCUCCUGUCAACUUAAUCCAAUUUGGCGAGACUUCUCCUUCUCCUCCUCCUCCUCCUCCUCCUUCUUUUACUUCUUCUUCUCUUUCUCUUCUUCUACGUAGCUUAGACUCAUCCAACAAAGCCUAAAUUGGCUAAUUAUCCAUCUAAAUGACAUAAUUAGCUUAGUUAGCUCCUAAAUGGUCUAUUUAAUAAAAAAUGACCUAUACUUAGCUAAGUUCUCUCCUAAAUGAUAUAAUAAGGCUUACGUAGCUGCAACAUGACCUAUUCCCCCUAACUUAGGUAUUAAAUGGCUUAUAAUUAGCCUAGCUAGAUCAAAAAUGGCUUAAUAAGCAUAGUUUGCUCCGGAAUGACCUAUUUGACCCAAGUUAGCUCCAAAACGACCUAUAGUUAGCUAGGGUUCCACCUAAAUGACAUAAUUAGCUUAGUUAGCUCCUAAAUGGUCUAUACUUAGCUAAUUUCUCUCCGAAAUAACCUAUAUAUACACUACUUCAUCUAGUAUUAUUCUUCUAACUUUCUUAUUUGUCAUUUUGCAGAUUACCUUCACUUCACGGGAAGCUUGUAAAAUAUUGAUGGAAUGCUUGAAGAUGAUUUCUUGUACCAUGGGUUGUAUUGAAACUAUUGUAGUAUAUGAAUAUAUGAAACUUUGUAUGCACGUGGAUGAAACUGCUGUAAUAUAUGAAACUUUGUAUGCACGUGGAUGCAACUUGAAAGCUGGAUAUAAGAGGUUAUUUUAAUAUGGUUACGAGUACGGAAAGAAAUUUAUUUAUGUCAAAUAUAUAUNNNNNNNNNNNNNNNNNNNNNNNNNNNNNNNNNNNNNNNNNNNNNNNNNNNNNNNNNNNNNNNNNNNNNNNNNNNNNNNNNNNNNNNNNNNNNNNNNNNNCAACUUUCGGUAACCUCGUAUAACAAUUCCCUAUAACCCUAGCGUCACUACAAGAAAUAAGCUCGUUUAUGACAAAAAAUAAUGACGGCGGUUUUAUUGGUCACAGAUCUAUGACUAAAAUAUAAAAAAGGUCAUGAGGUGUCUAAGAGGGUCCAAACCCUAGAAAUUUUUGACCAUCUCUAUCAAGAAGGUCAUAAUCCCAUUGCAUAAAAUGGUCACUGGCAUGUGUAGCUCUAUUUAUGUCCGCAUUAUAGGUCCUCCAUGACAAUAUCAAGAAGGUAAUAGGCUUAAAUAGAGGUUACUAGGCAGACAACUCAACAAUUUUGCUUACGUGUCUUGUAUAUAUUGGUGUUGACAAGGCUCACAAUCCAAUCUUUAUAUUUUGUAUUUUAGCUCAUUGUAAUGUAUCAUAUUUCCCUCAAUAUUUCCCACAAUCUUCGGAUCUUCGUGCGUGAGCCGUCCGAUCUAACUCCUGGCUGGUUCGAUUGCCUCCCCGACACAUUAAUUUUUGAAACAACAAACAAGUUGCAAAACAACCAUCGACCGAUCUUCGUGCACCCCCCGCUUGUCCCGUCCCCGACUCAUUAAUUCCCUAUAAACUGAGGGGCGGAUCCAACCGAGAUUAUCCAUCGGUUGUUGUAUAACGUUUUUUUAAAAACUAUGCUUAAUUCUCAAAAUAAAAACACAGAAUUACAUAUGCUUAAUUUUCAUCGGUGGAAUAAUUUGUGCCACGGAUUGAUGACAUGGCAAACAUCCUACCAUCCGUUCCCAGCAAUCCCAGCAUCCACCGAUCCAUGCAUCCAUCUAAAGAAAAUGAGGAAGGAAAAAAAGGAGCAGUCCACCGCACCAUGGUCUGGAGUACUCCUCUUUCUCUCCGUCCAUGGUGACGAACUACGAGAUCUGGGCAUGAUCCGCUCCAUGGUCCGCUCCAUGGGCGUGAUCCGCUACCUUUUGAUGAGGACGAAUAACGCACGGUGACCGGAGGUGGCUCCACGGUGUUCCUAUGUCCACCCAUCUCCUCCCCUCUAGAGAUUGCGAAGGCGGCGACAGCUACGGCGCUGGAGGGACGACCUGGAGGUGCAGGCUACUCCCCUAUCUUCUGUCAUGCGGUGGUGACCCGGAGGCGGCGUGGGCGGUGCAAUGGUCCUGCCCGAGCUCUCCAGGGACAACGGCCUUCUCCGGUGUCCCUCUCCAUGGCGGUUGUUCUUCUCACUGGUGAGAUCUCCUUCAUCCUCUUAUUUCCUUCUUCUCCUCAAUGAAUUUCUGAAUUUCUAGGGUUAGGGUUCUUUGUUUUUGGGAGCGGUGCAGGAGAAGGGGGUGAUGCUGAGUUUGGCACCCUGCCAUGGAAUCAAUUCAGGUGCAGAUGGAGCUCAUACAGAAGAAGAAGAUGAGCUCAAGUCUACGGAUGAGGAAUCAUGUUAGAGUAUCUUCUUUGUUCUAGCCAAAGGUACUAAUGUUUCUUCUCUGUUUUAGAUGAAUUGUUCCUUCUUUAUUCCUUCGAACUCCACUGUUUUGGAUGAACUAACUCAAUUAAUUAAUUUCUCAUGGAAAUAGGGUAAGAGUGAAAUUUUGUUGGAGGGUGCUUAAUCAGCCAUUCCCUUUCUUAGUAGAGGUUCCUUAUUUUAAUAAGGUAAGAACUCCUAUUCCAUUGUGCUUAAGGCUAAUGAUGAAUGAUUGUAUAAUAGCUAGUUUUCUUAUGUGGGUGCUUGGAAACAUUACGUUGGUGGGCACUGAGCCACUGGACCCUCACCCAGCCUGUCAAUAUUCACGGAAGUUGCAAAUUCGGGUUAGUUUUGACAUGUUUGUUAUUUUACAUUCGACUAAAAAAAUCACAUUCAUUCGAUUUUCUGCUCCUUUUCAUUCGGUGCUGAGCUUCCUGCUAAAAUCUCGGUGUGGAGGGAGGGAGAAAGAGGGGAGAGAGGGAGGGAGGGAGGGAGAAGCAGGCCCGUGAAACAAAUUAGUAUCUUUUGGUGCUAUGGGACUUCUAUUCAUAUGUUUUAGGUUACCUUCUUUCAUGGUGGCAUGCAUCUGCCUUACAGAAAAUAGGAGUGGAUGCUUUCCUAGUCAUGGUGGCAUGUGCUACAGUCUCCUCUAGUGUUUUAACUUCCUACUUUGAUGGAUAUGGUAAAAUGCAACGAUACUCAAUUCGUCCAUAUUUUUCUUCUGGUCGUCUUUUUUGUUAUUUUUAGUAUGUGACAAAGCUUGAAGAUUUAAAGGCCAUUACCACUUCUCGACCAAAAGUGAUAUACGGGUCAAAAUCUUUGUCCUCAAGAAUCUGGAGGUUGUGAGAGAUCGAGCUGGUUGAAAAGUUUGAAUAAGUGUCAGUGGGUUUUCACACUAUUGGCUGCCAGUCUACUGUUUUUUCAGUUUAACCCACCCUCAAUAUAGGAGUAAUCUUGUAUAACCUGAAAAUGUGAUAGUUCAUUCAAGUUAUAACUUGUUUGUUUUUGUAGCACCAACCAGAUGGUAAUGUCGUAUAUGUAGCGAGCAAUCAACAAUUAUCCUAACGUUGAUUGCUCACUACAUAUACGACAUUACCAUCUGGUUGGUGCUAACGUUUGUUGUAGAUGGUGUGGAAGUACCUCUUUCAAACUAACGUUUGUCGUAGAUGGUGUGGAAGUACCUCUUUCACACUAACGUCUGUUGUAAACCAACCUGAUAGUUUUGUGAAAUUUAAUUGCCUUUCAGGUCUUUACUUACGACAUGUUUUACUCCUUUUGUUUUCUUACUGUCACCAAAAACGCCUCUCACAGAAUUGUUAUGCUGCUUUGUCGUUUUAUUGUUACCAAACAUGCCUCAUGCAAGAAUAUUAAUUAUUGGCCUAUGUUUUCUUACUGUCACCAAAAACGCCUCUCACAGAAUUGUUAUGCUAGGUUUCUCCUUUUCCUUGCUAUAGGGCUCAAAUGCCACAGAAGUUGCUAUAUAUAGGAUUGAACUGUUUCUUGAUAGCUCAAUCCUAUACUGGUUUUAGUUGUUAAAGCACAAGAGGCUUCAUAUUUGUGAAUGUUUUAGAACAGAUAGGUGCACACAGGUGCAGUGCAUGCAUGUUCAUAUUGUGUGCAUCGAUUUGAUGCUUGCAAUGAAUUUCCUUGAGACACAAUUUAACAACAUUCCCCUGACAAUUGAAUAAUUAGUUGUCGUCCUAUACUUGAUAGAAUGAUGCUCCUGCCGUAACUGUAGAUGCAUGCAUGUCUGUAGCAGGAAAUCUUUCUCUUGUUACCUUAUUAUUAUCACUGGUUACAAAGUUCCGAUGGCCUGCAUUCUAUGGUAGUAAACUUGCUAUAUUGUUGGUACUGUGCUUUAUUUUAUUUCUCAUCUGCUCUAACUGCUAGAGAACCAGUGUCCUAAUGGCAUGUAUAAUGGGGUGAUGCCAGUCUUGUCUUUGUAAUGCACCAGCCCGGUUGGAGAUGCUCUUUGUCCAUCUGAUUAGUACUUAGCGGCUUGGUGAACACUGAAUAGAACUAAAAUGAUGUCUAGCUUGUGAGAGAGUUACACAAAGUAAGCCCUGUCCGGAAUACAGGGUAUUUUCCCUGUUCCCAUGGGGAAUAAAAUGGUUCGUGUGAAAUUCUUGCUUUCCAAAAAGGCCCUUAGUUUGAAGAGAUUGGAUUUUGUGCAACCAGUUGCCGACACACCCCAUUAUUCAAUUUUUUUGGAGUUUUCAAAAAAAUGUAGAACAGUUGAUGGAUUUAAUCCCUGCUUGCAUUUUCAUGCAAUUAUUCGAACUAGUUCAUUAAGAUAGCUAAACAUAUGGAUAGAUUUUUAUUGGCCAAGCAUAUGCUUGAGCUGAAAGUAUUAAACUGAUGGUAGCCUGAUGGUGAGCGGAUAAUCCUUGCCUAUUUUAAUGCAGCCAAAUCUGGUUUUACCUGCAUAAUUCUUGCUCAACAUUUGUGCAAAACUAAACAUAUAAUCCUCCUAAAUUGUGAGUUGAAAUGCGGCACAACUGCCAUGUUGGGCUUCGGGCGAUUCAAACGAGUUAUGAUGAGCCUGCAUGUGGGGUAGCAGAAGGUGAUGAUACAGUUGGAUCUGAGUGUGCAAAAUGAACUGUUUUGUUUUGUUUCGCAGGCUGGUCUGCCAUCUAAGAUCUCACCGGCCCCUACAAUGUUUUCGGCGUCGGUGCCUUUGCCGGCAGAGAAUUUUGAUGAUGGAUCAACGGAGGAACCCGAGCAUCCUGAUAUGAAGGUAUUUGUAUUUAUCUCUGCAAUUUUUUGGNNNNNNNNNNNNNNNNNNNNNNNNNNNNNNNNNNNNNNNNNNNNNNNNNNNNNNNNNNNNGACGCUGCUGGUUUUGUCGUGCUCCGCAUUGUCCAGUUACGCUUAUGCAUAGGUUUAUUUAUGGUAUUCUAUUGGAUAUGCAUAUGCUGAUGUACAAUAGGAAUGUCUGCAUGUUGUGCCAUGUUUUUUAUGCACAUAGAAUAUCCGUAUGUCUUAUUAUAGCCUCUAAUUAAAAGUUACUGAUUCACUAGGAAAAUCCACUGAAGGAAUCGGCCCCCUUUCUCCAGGAGGUACAUAUCUAGUGCUGGGCAGGCUUUUUUUAGCAAUUGAAACUUAUAAUUUUAACCUCUACACUUGUGAAGCCCAUUUCCAGUGGUCAUCCUACAAUGAGCCUGAAAAACAACCGCACAUAUCAUGACUCCAAGAUGAUAUAUCCCGACCUGGACGUUGCAUAAGAAAAAGGAAAUGUAACCACCGGUUUUUUCUUAGCUUAUGAGAGAAGAUAGUUAUAGUAGUAGCAUUCAGGUUUCAUCAGUGUGGAGUCAAAAAAAGCAGUCACAAGCACAUGACGACCCUGCAUCAUAUUUCCACCAUUUUCUAAGUAAGAAAACAAUUUUCUACUAUUUUAUCAUUGGUUAUCGUCCGUGCAAUUUUACUAGUUUCCUUGGUCUGAAAGCCUUACCAUCAUUUUCUUCUUGCACGCGGUAAUGGCAAGAGCAUAUUGUGCAGAGGAAGAGGAUGAGUAGAAACUUGUGGUUCUCAUCCAAUCUUCAUGGAACUCUCUUUAGGUGCGAUUGUGCACUUGUUGGGUCCUUUUUUCGUGCGCUUGCACUUGUAGAAGUAUUCUGUUGUGUACAUGUAAAAUUAUUUUGAUGUGCCCUUGUUAGACGUUGAAACUUAAUGCAUGGAGUUGGUGGAUGAUGUAAUGUAUUUGAUGUGAUAUGCUACUGAAAUGAAA